RNAcentral lists this ribosomal RNA (433 nucleotides) under uncultured bacterium. RNAcentral's name for it is "partial 16S ribosomal RNA". It matches the Rfam family "Bacterial small subunit ribosomal RNA", at positions 29 to 507 of the family's 1533-position model. The record is from RNAcentral.
AACGAACGCUGGCGGCAUGCCUAACACAUGCAAGUCGAACGAGACCUUCGGGUCUAGUGGCGCACGGGUGCGUAACGCGUGGGAACCUGCCCUUAGGUUCGGCAUAACUCCCCGAAAGGGGUGCUAAUACCGGACAAUGUCUUCGGACCAAAGACUUAUCGCCUUUGGAUGGGCCCGCGUGGGAUUAGCUAGUUGGUAGGGUAAAAGCCUACCAAGGCGACGAUCCAUAGCUGGUCUGAGAGGAUGAGCAGCCACACUGGGACUGAGACACGGCCCAGACUCGUACGGGAGGCAGCAGUGGGGAAUAGUGGACAAUGGGCGAAAGCCUGAUGCAGCAAUGCCGGGUGAGUGAUGAAGGCCUUAGGGUUGUAAAGCGCUUUUACCCGGGAUGAUAAUGACAGUACCGGGAGAAUAAGCUCCGGCUAACUCCGUG